AGCAGUCGCCACGGGAAUACGUAGGGUGCAAGCGUUAAUCGGAAUUACUGGGCGUAAAGCGUGCGCAGGCGGUUUUGUAAGACAGAGGUGAAAUCCCCGGGCUCAACCUGGGAACUGCCUUUGUGACUGCAAGGCUAGAGUACGGCAGAGGGGGAUGGAAUUCCGCGUGUAGCAGUGAAAUGCGUAGAUAUGCGGAGGAACACCGAUGGCGAAGGCAAUCCCCUGGGCCUGUACUGACGCUCAUGCACGAAAGCGUGGGGAGCAAACAGGAUUAGAUACCCCCGUAGUCCCUGUCUCUUAUAC
RNAcentral lists this ribosomal RNA (303 nucleotides) under uncultured bacterium. Its description in RNAcentral is "partial 16S ribosomal RNA". It matches the Rfam family "Bacterial small subunit ribosomal RNA", at positions 507 to 807 of the family's 1533-position model. The record is from RNAcentral.